GACGAACGCUGGCGGCGUGCUUAACACAUGCAAGUCGAACGGAAAGGCCCUGCUUUUGUGGGGUUCUCGAGUGGCGAACGGGUGUGUAACACGUGAGUAACCUGCCCUUGACUUUGGGAUAACUUCAGGAAACUGGGGCUAAUACCGGAUAGGAGCUCCUGCUCCAUGGUGUGGGUUGGAAAGUUUCGGCGGGUGGGGAUGGACUCGCGGCUUAUCAGCUUGUUGGUGGGGUAGUGGCUUACCAAGGCUUUGACGGGUAGCCGGCCUGAGAGGGUGACCGGCCACAUUGGGACUGAGAUACGGCCCAGACUCCUACGGGAGGCAGCAGUGGGGAAUAUUGCACAAUGGGCGGAAGCCUGAUGCAGCAACGCCGCGUGCGGGAUGACGGCCUUCGGGUUGUAAACCGCUUUCGCCUGUGACGAAGCGUGAGUGACGGUAAUGGGUAAAGAAGCACCGGCUAACUACGUG
RNAcentral lists this ribosomal RNA (468 nucleotides) under uncultured bacterium. Its description in RNAcentral is "partial 16S ribosomal RNA". It matches the Rfam family "Bacterial small subunit ribosomal RNA", at positions 28 to 507 of the family's 1533-position model. The record is from RNAcentral.